AGCAGUCGCCACUGGAAAACGGAGGAUCCGAGCGUUAUCCGGAAUUAUUGGGUUUAAAGGGUGCGUAGGCGGAUAGAUAAGUCAGUGGUGAAAGACGGUGGCUCAACCAUCGCAGUGCCGUUGAUACUGUUUAUCUUGAAUAUGGAUGAGGUAGGCGGAAUGUGGCAAGUAGCGGUGAAAUGCAUAGAUAUGCCACAGAACACCGAUUGCGAAGGCAGCUUACCAAGGCAAAAUUGACGCUGAGGCACGAAAGCGUGGGGAUCGAACAGGAUUAGAUACCCCAGUAGUCCCUGUCUCUUAUAA
RNAcentral lists this ribosomal RNA (303 nucleotides) under uncultured bacterium. RNAcentral describes it as "partial 16S ribosomal RNA". It matches the Rfam family "Bacterial small subunit ribosomal RNA", at positions 507 to 809 of the family's 1533-position model. The record is from RNAcentral.